This 88-nucleotide non-coding RNA is filed under the name Paenibacillus sp. yr247. RNAcentral's name for it is "c-di-GMP-I riboswitch aptamer". It matches the Rfam family "c-di-GMP-I riboswitch aptamer". From Rfam's summary of the family: GEMM was predicted in a large-scale screen for bacterial structured RNA regulatory elements. Genes associated with GEMM are involved in a diverse array of functions, including chemotaxis regulation, signal transduction, secretion and chitin. Lineage: Bacteria; Bacillati; Bacillota; Bacilli; Caryophanales; Paenibacillaceae. The record is from Rfam by way of RNAcentral.
AUACGAUAAAGGCAAAACUAAUGAAAAUUAGUGACGCAAAGCUAAAUGGGCUAAGGCGAAUUGUUCGCUAUGCCUGCCAGUUACCAAA